AACGAACGCUGGCGGCAUGCCUAACACAUGCAAGUCGAACGAGACCUUCGGGUCUAGUGGCGCACGGGUGCGUAACGCGUGGGAACCUGCCCUUAGGUUCGGAAUAACUCCCCGAAAGGGGUGCUAAUACCGGAUAAUGUCUUCGGACCAAAGAUUUAUCGCCUUUGGAUGGGCCCGCGUUGGAUUAGCUAGUUGGUAGGGUAAAAGCCUACCAAGGCGACGAUCCAUAGCUGGUCUGAGAGGAUGAUCAGCCACACUGGGACUGAGACACGGCCCAGACUCCUACGGAAGGCAGCAGUGGGGAAUAUUGGAUAAUGGGCGAAAGCCUGAUCCAGCAAUGCCGCGUGAGUGAUGAAGGCCUUAGGGUUGUAAAGCUCUUUUACCCGGGAUGAUAAUGACAGUACCGGGAGAAUAAGCUCCGGCUAACUCCG
This 431-nucleotide ribosomal RNA is filed under the name uncultured bacterium. Its description in RNAcentral is "partial 16S ribosomal RNA". It matches the Rfam family "Bacterial small subunit ribosomal RNA", at positions 29 to 505 of the family's 1533-position model. The record is from RNAcentral.